GUCUGUAUAGGAGCAGCCCUUUAUAUGACAAAACAGAUUUGGAGUGUGAGUAAGAACCACGGUCCUGGCUGCUCUUGUCUCUGGAAUUCUUGGGAUCAAGUGAAGAGGAGCAAUCACUGCACAAGGCUUAUAAAUUCUGAGUUGGUCUUUCCUCUCUCAAACAAAAAUAUGCUCACAAAAGCACUUUAUACCUGUGUUAGCAGGUGGGAGGCAGAACUCUCUGGGCAGUUUGAAGAUGUGGCUCCUCUCAGUUCUUUACCUCCUGUGAAACCACUUGUUCCCAGUGUGCCUUUCCCAUCUCAGUGUCUCGGA
Molecule: long non-coding RNA, 312 nt
Filed under: Parus major (Great Tit)
Lineage: Eukaryota; Metazoa; Chordata; Aves; Passeriformes; Paridae
Description: lncRNA (ENSPMJG00000004972.1)
Source: RNAcentral